Molecule: unclassified non-coding RNA, 330 nt
Filed under: Hevea brasiliensis (rubber tree)
Lineage: Eukaryota; Viridiplantae; Streptophyta; Magnoliopsida; Malpighiales; Euphorbiaceae
Source: RNAcentral
AAACAAUCUUUUAUUUCAACUAAUAAUUAGUACAAAAGCAAAAAAUCAGUUGAAAGUAACAUACACGAAUAAGGUAAUUACCCAAAAUACCAACCUAACACCAAUGACUUCCCAGACCAUAUGUACAUCCCUUCCAAAAUACUCAUGUCUCACAGAUGAAAAGAAACUGAAAUUUUCCCAUGCCUCAUUGCAUAUGAUGAUACCAGCACUCAUUCAACACUAUCUAUAUAUUUACUGCUAAACUCAGUGAAACAAGCAAAACUUAACUACUAUUAUUAGAUGUUGUGGAACUGCUAGUCCAUUGCGUCAUGACUGUAUCUGGAGAACGUG